This 278-nucleotide ribosomal RNA is filed under the name Listeria monocytogenes. Its description in RNAcentral is "partial 16S ribosomal RNA". It matches the Rfam family "Bacterial small subunit ribosomal RNA", at positions 1 to 267 of the family's 1533-position model. The record is from RNAcentral. Lineage: Bacteria; Bacillati; Bacillota; Bacilli; Caryophanales; Listeriaceae.
UUUAAAGAGAGUUUGAUCCUGGCUCAGGACGAACGCUGGCGGCGUGCCUAAUACAUGCAAGUCGAACGAACGGAGGAAGAGCUUGCUCUUCCAAAGUUAGUGGCGGACGGGUGAGUAACACGUGGGCAACCUGCCUGUAAGUUGGGGAUAACUCCGGGAAACCGGGGCUAAUACCGAAUGAUAAAGUUUGGCGCAUGCCAUGCUUUUGAAAGAUGGUUUCGGCUAUCGCUUACAGAUGGGCCCGCGGUGCAUUAGCUAGUUGGUAGGGUAAUGGCCUA